UGGGGAAUUUUGCGCAAUGGGCGAAAGCCUGACGCAGCAACGCCGCGUGGAGGAUGAAGGUCUUUGGAUUGUAAACUCCUGUCAGCAGGGAAAAAGGCACCUGGCCACACCAGGUGAUUGAUUGUACCUGCAGAGGAAGCCCCGGCUAACUCUGUGCCAGCAGCCGCGGUAAUACAGAGGGGGCAAGCGUUAUUCGGAAUUAUUGGGCGUAAAGGGCGCGUAGGCGGCGUCUCAAGUGGAUGGUGAAAUCCCCGGGCUUAACCUGGGAACUGCCGUCCAAACUGAGAGGCUUGAGUCCGGGAGAGGUAAGUGGAAUUCCCAGUGUAGCGGUGAAAUGCGUAGAUAUUGGGAGGAACACCAGUGGCGAAGGCGGCUUACUGGACCGGAACUGACGCUGAGGCGCGAAAGCGUGGGGAGCAAACAG
This 424-nucleotide ribosomal RNA is filed under the name uncultured bacterium. RNAcentral's name for it is "bacterial SSU rRNA". It matches the Rfam family "Bacterial small subunit ribosomal RNA", at positions 355 to 775 of the family's 1533-position model. The record is from RNAcentral.